UAGGGAAUCUUCGGCAAUGGACGGAAGUCUGACCGAGCAACGCCGCGUGAGUGAAGAAGGUUUUCGGAUCGUAAAGCUCUGUUGUUAGAGAAGAACGUUGGUAGUGGAAAAUCUACCAAGUGACGGUAACUAACCAGAAAGGGACGGCUAACUACGUGCCAGCAGCCGCGGUAAUACGUAGGUCCCGAGCGUUGUCCGGAUUUAUUGGGCGUAAAGCGAGCGCAGGCGGUUCUUUAAGUCUGAAGUUAAAGGCAGUGGCUUAACCAUUGUACGCUUUGGAAACUGGAGGACUUGAGUGCAGAAGGGGAGAGUGGAAUUCCAUGUGUAACGGUGAAAUGCGUAGAUAUAUGGAGGAACACCGGUGGCGAAAGCGGCUCUCUGGUCUGUAACUGACGCUGAGGCUCGAAAGCGUGGGGAGCAAACAGG
Molecule: ribosomal RNA, 426 nt
Filed under: Bacillota bacterium
Lineage: Bacteria; Bacillati; Bacillota
Description: Firmicutes bacterium partial 16S ribosomal RNA
Rfam family: Bacterial small subunit ribosomal RNA
Source: RNAcentral